Molecule: ribosomal RNA, 460 nt
Filed under: uncultured bacterium
Lineage: Bacteria
Description: partial 16S ribosomal RNA
Rfam family: Bacterial small subunit ribosomal RNA
Source: RNAcentral
CCUACGGGAGGCAGCAGUGAGGAAUAUUGGUCAAUGGACUUACGCCUGAACCAGCCAAGUCGCGUGAGGGAAGACUGCCCUAUGGGUUGUAAACCUCUUUUGUCAGGGAGCAACACCGGCUACGUGUAGCCUGCCUGAGAGUCCCUGAAGAAAAAGCAUCGGCUAACUCCGUGCCAGCAGCCGCGUUAAUACGGGGGAUGCGAGCGUUAUCCGGCUUUAUUGGGUUUAAGGGGUGCGUAGGCGGAAUGCCAAGUCAGCGGUAAAAUCGCGGGGCUCAACCUCGCUCCGCCGUUGAAACUGGCGGUCUUGAGUGGGCGAGAAGUAGGCGGAAUGCGUGGUGUAGCGGUGAAAUGCAUAGAUAUCACGCAGAACUCCGAUUGCGAAGGCAGCAUACCGGAGUGCAACUGACGCUGAAGCACGAAAGCGUGGGUAUCGAACAGGAUUAGAUACCCGGGUAGUC